GCCGGCGUAGCUCAGCGGUAGAGCAUCCGCCUUGUAAGCGGGAGGUCGGGGGUUCGAUCCCCUCCGCCGGCACCA
Molecule: transfer RNA, 75 nt
Filed under: Pseudomonadota bacterium
Lineage: Bacteria; Pseudomonadati; Pseudomonadota
Also listed under: 3 other names
Description: tRNA-Thr
Rfam family: tRNA
About the family: Transfer RNA (tRNA) molecules are approximately 80 nucleotides in length. Their secondary structure includes four short double-helical elements and three loops (D, anti-codon, and T loops).
Source: RNAcentral